RNAcentral lists this long non-coding RNA (403 nucleotides) under Anser cygnoides (Swan goose). RNAcentral's name for it is "lncRNA (ENSACDG00005003361.1)". Lineage: Eukaryota; Metazoa; Chordata; Aves; Anseriformes; Anatidae. The record is from RNAcentral.
AUGGUUAAAUUUUUUGCAUUACCUGUAACCCAAGUUAUGACAAUUCAAAACCUUCUGACACUUCAGUUGGCUUCACUUGUUCGUGACCGAGAGGAUGCUGCUGGGGAAUCUCUGCUGCAGCGCUGGACUUCACUGGAAGGGCUUGCUGGGAACGUCGAAACUUUCCGAACAUGCACGACUUUCUCUUCUCAACGUUCAAGUCCACCCACUCAUCGAGUGGGAGCCUCAUAACACAGGUAAUUGGAGCGUCAAGCGCUGCAGAACUGGGAGGAGGAAGGUUUGGGUGAAGAUACUGGUGCGGACCAAUGCCUUUGAAUCUAACACGCUCGUGAAGAGCAGGAGGUCUUACAUCUUGGUCACAGUACUCCUGAAUGGUCAAAUUUCCCUCAUAUCAGUUAUAUAG